Molecule: long non-coding RNA, 217 nt
Filed under: Mytilus galloprovincialis (Mediterranean mussel)
Lineage: Eukaryota; Metazoa; Mollusca; Bivalvia; Mytilida; Mytilidae
Source: RNAcentral
CAAUGUUUGUCGAUCUGAUUGGAAAAAGUGUUGCAGUUAUUGUACAAAAUGAAAAUUUGUGAGGAUUAAUUAAUAUAGUUUCGCCUUUCAGCAAUAUUUGACAAUGAUGAAGUUCAAAUUGUGAGUGCAAGCAAUGCAAUAAACUGAACUAAACUUCGAUUGUAUGAUUUAGCUACAUUGAAUAAGCCGGCGGCGGACAUUGAAGACUUUAUUAGCA